AACGCGAAGAACCUUACCUGGGUUUGACAUGCACAGGACGCCGGCAGAGAUGUCGGUUCCCUUGUGGCCUGUGUGCAGGUGGUGCAUGGCUGUCGUCAGCUCGUGUCGUGAGAUGUUGGGUUAAGUCCCGCAACGAGCGCAACCCUUGUCUCAUGUUGCCAGCGGUUCGGCCGGGGACUCGUGAGAGACCGCCGGGGUCAACUCGGAGGAAGGUGGGGAUGACGUCAAGUCAUCAUGCCCCUUAUGUCCAGGGCUUCACACAUGCUACAAUGGCCGGUACAAAGGGCUGCGAUGCCGUGAGGUUAAGCGAAUCCUUUAAAGCCGGUCUCAGUUCGGAUCGGGGUCUGCAACUCGACCCCGUGAAGUCGGAGUCGCUAGUAAUCGCAGAUCAGCAACGCUGCGGUGAAUACGUUCCCGGGCCUUGUA
RNAcentral lists this ribosomal RNA (426 nucleotides) under uncultured Actinomycetes bacterium. Its description in RNAcentral is "bacterial SSU rRNA". It matches the Rfam family "Bacterial small subunit ribosomal RNA", at positions 958 to 1385 of the family's 1533-position model. The record is from RNAcentral. Lineage: Bacteria; Bacillati; Actinomycetota; Actinomycetes.